Molecule: ribosomal RNA, 253 nt
Filed under: uncultured bacterium
Lineage: Bacteria
Description: partial 16S ribosomal RNA
Rfam family: Bacterial small subunit ribosomal RNA
Source: RNAcentral
UACAGAGGUCUCAAGCGUUGUUCGGAUUCAUUGGGCGUAAAGGGUGCGUAGGCGGCGCGGUAAGUCGGGUGUGAAAUCUCGGAGCUUAACUCCGAAACUGCAUUCGAUACUGCCGUGCUUGAGGACUGGAGAGGAGACUGGAAUUUACGGUGUAGCGGUGAAAUGCGUAGAUAUCGUAAGGAAGACCAGUGGCGAAGGCGGGUCUCUGGACAGUUCCUGACGCUGAGGCACGAAGGCCAGGGGGGCAAACGGG